Non-coding RNA from Mycena rebaudengoi, 95 nucleotides. Lineage: Eukaryota; Fungi; Basidiomycota; Agaricomycetes; Agaricales; Mycenaceae. The record is from the annotation of a GenBank genome assembly.
GACCUGUUAGCGCAGUCGGAAGCACGCCCGUGUGAUAGAAUCGACGUUUCUCUCAGCUUGUGCGGGAAGCCCCGGUUCGAACCCGGGACAGGUCA